RNAcentral lists this ribosomal RNA (1163 nucleotides) under Bacillus thuringiensis. Its description in RNAcentral is "bacterial SSU rRNA". It matches the Rfam family "Bacterial small subunit ribosomal RNA", at positions 65 to 1220 of the family's 1533-position model. Lineage: Bacteria; Bacillati; Bacillota; Bacilli; Caryophanales; Bacillaceae. The record is from RNAcentral.
AGGAACGGAUUAAGAGCUUGCUCUUAUGAAGUUAGCGGCGGACGGGUGAGUAACACGUGGGUAACCUGCCCAUAAGACUGGGAUAACUCCGGGAAACCGGGGCUAAUACCGGAUAACAUUUUGAACCGCAUGGUUCGAAAUUGAAAGGCGGCUUCGGCUGUCACUUAUGGAUGGACCCGCGUCGCAUUAGCUAGUUGGUGAGGUAACGGCUCACCAAGGCAACGAUGCGUAGCCGACCUGAGAGGGUGAUCGGCCACACUGGGACUGAGACACGGCCCAGACUCCUACGGGAGGCAGCAGUAGGGAAUCUUCCGCAAUGGACGAAAGUCUGACGGAGCAACGCCGCGUGAGUGAUGAAGGCUUUCGGGUCGUAAAACUCUGUUGUUAGGGAAGAACAAGUGCUAGUUGAAUAAGCUGGCACCUUGACGGUACCUAACCAGAAAGCCACGGCUAACUACGUGCCAGCAGCCGCGGUAAUACGUAGGUGGCAAGCGUUAUCCGGAAUUAUUGGGCGUAAAGCGCGCGCAGGUGGUUUCUUAAGUCUGAUGUGAAAGCCCACGGCUCAACCGUGGAGGGUCAUUGGAAACUGGGAGACUUGAGUGCAGAAGAGGAAAGUGGAAUUCCAUGUGUAGCGGUGAAAUGCGUAGAGAUAUGGAGGAACACCAGUGGCGAAGGCGACUUUCUGGUCUGUAACUGACACUGAGGCGCGAAAGCGUGGGGAGCACACAGGAUUAGAUACCCUGGUAGUCCACGCCGUAAACGAUGAGUGCUAAGUGUUAGAGGGUUUCCGCCCUUUAGUGCUGAAGUUAACGCAUUAAGCACUCCGCCUGGGGAGUACGGCCGCAAGGCUGAGACUCAAAGGAAUUGACGGGCGCCCGCACAAGCGGUGGAGCAUGUGGUUUAAUUCUAAGCAACGCGCAGAACCUUACCAGGUCUUGACAUCCUCUGAACACCCUAGAGAUAGGGCUUCUCCUUCCGGAGCAGAGUGACAAGUGGUGCAUGGUUGUCGUCUUCUCCUGUCCUGAGAUGUUGGGUAAGUCCGUCACCACCGCAACCCUUGAUCUUGUUGUCAUAAUUAGCUUGGGAAUUUAAGGAACGCCGGGGACACCCCAGAAAAGGGGGAGGAGGUGGGAAUAACAUGCCCCUACCACCCCCCCUAAAAA